RNAcentral lists this long non-coding RNA (775 nucleotides) under Capra hircus (goat). RNAcentral describes it as "lncRNA (ENSCHIG00000007420.1)". Lineage: Eukaryota; Metazoa; Chordata; Mammalia; Artiodactyla; Bovidae. The record is from RNAcentral.
CAGCAAAUGAGAACCCCUGAUAACAUGGGUGAGAGGUUCAUUCUUUGACAAUGCCAGUUAUAGAAGAUGCAUUGUUUUGACCACAGGCUCACUUUCAAUACAAUGAGAGAGAAGCUUGCAUGGAGUGUAGAGAUUUCCAAACCACCCUCUCUUCUCCUUAUCUGAAGUACAAGCCAGUGAUUGUCAUUAGCACCGAGCAGAGUGUCAUCAGGCUUAAGUGGCAAGUGAGAUGUUACCUGUGUCAACUUCCCACUUUAUUGAACGCUGGACUUCGUGAAAGUGUUUGGUGGGUGCCGGAGCAUGAGUCUCACUUUCUGUUCCCUCUGGGGUGGAGGUUUGGGGAGAAAUGCCUUUACCACAUUACAACCGUAUAUUUGCAGUUUUUGAUUCUGCAGUUGAUUAAACACUUUCACAUGUACUCAUGUCUCCUCCUAGCUGCACUGCUGUCAUCUCAAUUCUACUGAUGCAGAAAUGGAGACCCUGAGAGGCGGUCACCCUAAAAGUUAGUCACAUGGUAGGAGCCCCCACCAUGAAGUAUAUCCAGGCCUGAGCCCUCCCCAUCAUCCGCUGCUCACUAAUGCUUACUGUCUGAGUCUGCUCAGCUGUUUAACAGUAUUCUGCAGGCUGAGGGGACUUAUAGGCAGUAGAUAUUUAUUUCUUUCAGUUCUGGAAUCCAGAAGUCCAAGAUCAGAGCACCAGCCUGGUUGAGUGAGGGCACUCUUCCAGGUUAAAAACUUUUCAUUGUAUCCUCACAGAGUGGAAGGGGCCAGGGAGC